This 484-nucleotide ribosomal RNA is filed under the name uncultured bacterium. Its description in RNAcentral is "partial 16S ribosomal RNA". It matches the Rfam family "Bacterial small subunit ribosomal RNA", at positions 30 to 507 of the family's 1533-position model. The record is from RNAcentral.
AUUGAACGCUGGCGGCAGGCCUAACACAUGCAAGUCGAGCGGUAGAGCGAAGCUUGCUUCUCUUGAGAGCGGCGGGCGGGUGAGUAAUGCCUAGGAAUCUGCCUGGUAGUGGGGGAUAACGUUCGGAAACGGACGCUAAUACCGCAUACGUCCUACGGGAGAAAGCAGGGGACCUUCGGGCCUUGCGCUCUCAGAUGAGCCUAGGUCGGAGUAGCUAGUUGGUGGGGUAAUGGCUCACCAAGGCGACGAUCCGUAACUGGUCUGAGAGGAUGAUCAGUCGCACGGGAACUGAGACACGGUCCAGACUCCUACGGGAGGCAGCAGUGGGGAAUAGUGGACAAUGGGCGAAAGCCUGAUCCAGCCAUGCCGCGUGUGUGAAGAAGGUCUUCGGAUUGUAAAGCACGUUAAGUUGGGAGGAAGGGCAGUAAAUUAAUACGUUGCUGUUGUGACGUUACCGACAGAAUAAGCACCGGCUAACUCUGUG